RNAcentral lists this ribosomal RNA (459 nucleotides) under uncultured bacterium. Its description in RNAcentral is "partial 16S ribosomal RNA". It matches the Rfam family "Bacterial small subunit ribosomal RNA", at positions 338 to 795 of the family's 1533-position model. The record is from RNAcentral.
CCUACGGGCGGCAGCAGUGAGGAAUAUUGGUCAAUGGGCGUAAGCCUGAACCAGCCAAGUCGCGUGAGGGAUGAAGGUUCUAUGGAUCGUAAACCUCUUUAUAAAGGAAUUAAACGAGGCACGGGUGGCUUUUUGCAUGUACUUUAUGAAUAAGGAACGGCGAACUCCGUGCCAGCCGGCGCGGUAAUACGGAGGAUCCGAGCGUUAUCCGGAUUUAUUGGGUGUAAAGGGAGCGUAGAUGGGUUGUUAAGUCAGUUGUGAAAGUUUGCGGCUCAACCGUAAAAUUGCAAUUGAUACUGGCAGUCUUGAGUACAGUUGAGGUAGGCGGAAUUCGUGGUGUAGCGGUGAAAUGCUUAGAUAUCACGAAGAACCCCGAUUGCGAAGGCAGCUUACUAAACUGUGACUGACAUUGAUGCUCGAAAGUGUGGGUAUCAAACAGGAUUAGAUACCCGAGUAGUC